Molecule: long non-coding RNA, 782 nt
Organism: Brassica rapa (field mustard)
Lineage: Eukaryota; Viridiplantae; Streptophyta; Magnoliopsida; Brassicales; Brassicaceae
Source: RefSeq, a predicted model, not a curated record
AAAUAUAAGUUUUUAAGAAAAUUAUUUAAAAAUACACUCCGAAAGAAUACUCAUCUAUCCACAAAUAUUCUUGUUAUCCUAAUUUCAAAAUCACAAACCCAAACCUAUAAUAUUUCUCUAAAAAAUGAAAACUUUCCAAAAAUAGCUGUUUUUAAGAAAAUUAUUUAAAAAUACAACAUAUUGAUGAAAAAUUCUUAAAGAGUAUUCAUCUCUCCACAAAUAGUCUAGUUAUCCUAAUUUCUAAAUCACAAACCCAAAUCUACAAUAUUUAUCUAUAAAAUGAAAACUUACCAAAAAUAGCAGUUUUUAAGAAAAUUAUUUAAAAAUACAACACAUUGAUGAAAAAUUCUUAAAUAAUACUCAUCAAUCCACAAAUAUUCUUGUAUCCUAUUUUUUAAACCACAAACCCAAAUCUACAAUAUUUCUCAAAAAAAUGAAAACUUUCCAAAAAUAGCAUUUUUAAGAAAAUUAUUUAAAAAUACAACCUAUUGAUGAAAAAUUCUUAAAGAGUGUUCAUCUAUCCACAAAUAGUCUAGUUAUCCUAAGUUCUAAAUCAGAAACCCAAAUCUACAAUAUUUAUCUAUAAAAUGAAAACUUUCCAAAAAUAAGAGUUUUUAAGAAAAUUAUUUUAAAAUACAACUUGGUGAUGAAAUUUUUUAAAUGAAUACUCAAUUACCCCUAAAUAUUCUUGUUAUCUUAAUUUUUAAACCACAAACUCAAUUCUACUAUAUUUCUUUAAAUAAAUGAAAACUUUCCAAAAAUAGUAGUUUUUAAGAAAAUUA